AUGCCUACGUUCGCAUUGACUGUCCUUCGAGUGCCAAAGAAGCUUCUAAAGGAGAUUGACAAGUGCAGGCGCAGAUUUUUAUGGAAGCAAGAUGAGGAGAUCACAGGUGGUAGCUGCAAGGUCAAUUGGAUAGCAGUGUGCGCUCCCACAUCGCACGGAGGACUGGGCAUCCUCGACCUCGAGCGGUUCAGCCGAGCCCUUAGAUUGCGGUGGCUCUGGACAUCCUGGACCGCCCCGGAGCGAGCAUGGGUUGGUACAGAGCCACCGUGCAGCAACAUCGACAAAAGCCUUUUCAGGGUUGUGACCACGGUCACCAUCGGCGACGGCGCAACGGCUCUCUUCUGGCACUCCUCCUGGAUCGGGCCGCACAACUUAGCCACCUCAUACCCCCUCCUCUACUCGCACUCCAGGCGAAAAAACAGGACGGUGCGCGAGGCGCUCACAGGCGAAACUUGGAUAAAAGACCUGCGACACGGGAAUCUACAGCCACUCCUGCCAGAAUUUAUCCGGCUACACCACAUUAUUUCCUUGAUCGUGCUAACUGACGGGAGCAGGGACAAGAUUAGAUGGACUCUGGAGGCGAGCGGCCUAUACUCGGCAAGCUCGGCUUAUGCCGUGCAAUUUCAGGGACGUGUUCAUGUUGACUGGCAAAAGCUGAUCUGGGAAGCAAAGGUGCCGGGGUGCAUCAAGAUUUUCAACUGGCUCCUCCUGCAGAACCGUCUAUGGACAUGCGAUAGACUGCAACGGCGCGGCUGGCCGAACAACUAUUUUUGCCCGCUCUGCGUCCGCAAUCUGGAGACAGCAUACCACCUAGUUUGGACCUGCCCACUGGCCCGUGAGUUUUGGGAGAGGGUGGCUGCACGACGAGGAUGCCAAUAG
This 879-nucleotide ribosomal RNA is filed under the name Triticum aestivum (bread wheat). RNAcentral describes it as "partial small subunit ribosomal RNA". The record is from RNAcentral. Lineage: Eukaryota; Viridiplantae; Streptophyta; Magnoliopsida; Poales; Poaceae.